RNAcentral lists this unclassified non-coding RNA (245 nucleotides) under Hevea brasiliensis (rubber tree). The record is from RNAcentral. Lineage: Eukaryota; Viridiplantae; Streptophyta; Magnoliopsida; Malpighiales; Euphorbiaceae.
GAUGUCUAAUAUCAGCAAUAAUAUCAAAGAAGGAAGCGAGAGCCUUCGACCAAGACAAUUUGAGUAUCACCCCACUAAUCCUAGUCUAAUGGCUUUUGGAACUUUGGAUGGGGAGGUUGUUGUUGUUAACCAUGAUGCUGGAAAUAUUUUCAGUUAUAUUCCACUCUUUGGAGUGACUAAUAGCAUUUUGGGCCUCUGUUGGCUUAACAAGAAUCCAUUCAAGCUCCUUGCUGGUUCUGACAGUG